AUGUCUCCACUCUACCUCCUCAAAGUGGACUACCAGCCCCAGCACUGAGCACACCACCACCUCCAGCUUCCUUUGCUGUUGGAACCUGUGCUCAAUGCCUCACACUUCCUCUACCAGGGUCAGUAGGGUUUCAGGCCUCAGCCAUAGUCUUCUCCACCACGUCUCUGCGCUUCCUGUUUCCUCCACCUCCUGCCAGAGCAACACCAUCAUCCUUCCAGUUUCUAAGGGUCUGACCGAAUCCCACACCCCUACACCAGAUGGUCUGGUCGACGCCUUUAUUCCUGCCUCGACAUCUCUGACCUCAUCUCAGGUUUCCUGGUUCAAAGCUGGCUCCUCAUCACAGGCAAAUCGUCAGCUUCCCAAGCCCAGAACCUUUCAGCAUCUUCCACCACUCCUUCAUGAACCUCGUUUGGUAUGCACCAGAGAGUAGUUCCCACAACUCACUCGGUGCAGUUUUCAGCACCUGUGCCUGCUUCACGUUUCCUGAGAGCAGCUGAGCCCACUUCGCAUCUCCUGAUUGCAGCUGACCCCACUUCAUGCCUCCUGAGUGAAGCAGAGCCUGCUCCUGGUCUCCUCAGAGCACGUAAGUCCACUCCUAGCCUGAACUCGCUGUUGAUCAACAGCAGCGAGUCCUAAGCACACAGAAGAGGAUCCCAUGUGCUCAUCUACCGCAGCACCUGUUCCCACGUCCUCAUCUCCUGCAACAAAAGUUUCCAAAUCCUCAUCUGCAGCAGCAACAGCGGUCCCCUCAUCCGCAAAGGAGCCGGUCUCACAUCAGUAGAAGCAUCUGUUGCGUCUGCUAUAUUUGCUUCAGAGACUCCAUUUCAACUUUACUUUCACAAUCUACGCCAUCGUUGCGAUCACCAUCUACAAUCCUGGCACCAUCCUUGUUAUCCCGGUAGUACUUUGAAAAGCUUUGACCCACCCACAGGUGAUGUUGCAGUUCCAGUCUCCUGAUCUCCUUCAUAGAUUCCAGUUUCCUGAGCUCCACUGUGGGCUCUCCAUGACUCUCGGCUGGUCCCCUGACAGUCCCCUGGGUUGGCAUCCAGGCAAAGUUCUAAAUGGGUUGCCCCAGUCACCUGGUAUGCUUCCAACCAUGGUGAUCCUAGGGAUCUCCCAGUAGAACCUUAUUUGAAUACCCGCUAGGAGGAAGUCUCGGAUCCUUCUCAUUUGUGUUUGCUUUCACCAUUUCUCUGUAUAUUUUAGUUGAUGCCCUUAACAUUUGCCACAAAAUGUUUAAAAACGAUGUGCCUACUGGUUACCAUUUGGAGCACAUGCAAAAGCCUCAUUUCUCUGUAAAGGAAUAUUCAAUGUUUUAGAAACAAAUUGUUACAUUCUGAUAAAAAAACAAAAACAAAAAAAAAAACUAAAUAUUCCCCUCAGCUUUAUAUUUGUCUUGUCCUUUUGAUUUAGCGAUGCAGCUCCUGUGCCAAUUAACCCCUCUUUUUGUUAGUCUCUCUGCUUACCUUCAGACCCAGCUGUUCCACAUUUUCUCCUAAUUAACACACCAACAUCCCAUGUCAUUUACACAUCUCCCUCAGCAUAUUAACUCUCUUCCUCUCAUUGUACUCUCCCAUUUUAAUGCUAGUAUUUCCUGUUUUGCCUCUUCCUGUUUUGCUGCCUCUACCGGUGUUCAUGUUUUCACUGUGCCCUCCCUUAAGUUCUGUGCCAUUGUUAAAAUAUUUAUUUUAACAAUGACAUAGAACUGUCAUUGACAUAGAACCCCUGACUGCGCCUGGGUUCUCCUCCACCGACAUGACAGAGACACACCUACACAGUUUAUGUUAAAGUGAGACUUGUAGGUCCACAUGCUUUAUUAUUCUAAUGUUAUUUUCUGCUUUGCUGUUUUGGAGGUCAACUGAACAUACAUUAAUCAGCAUAUGUUACCACUGGUGUCAAGAAGGUGAUGGCUUUUGAAGUAGUACCCAAGUGUAGACAAGCAGGGGCAGUUCGGUGAGUACAAAAGGUAAAAUAAAGAAUCGUUCAUCCAAGCAAAAACGUGAGCAGGUAUUGCAUGAACACUUGGAAGGGCUUGGCGUGAUAAAUAGGUGAGGACAUGAAGAGGCUUUGCAAACAGUCAAGGAUAGCCUUAGCAUGGCAGACAGGCUUGGCACAUCUAUAGUUUGCUUGAUUCAGUAUCUGCAGGAUAUUAAUGACGUUUGCCCAGAGGAAGAACCACCAUGCCGUGAGACUUUAGCUUUGGUGAGGGAAACAAACACACAACUUUGUGUGUUUUGGCUGUGCAAUUAUUUUGAUUGUACCAACACUGUCUGUCAGCUAUUUCAGACAAACACUGCUGUAAAGGGGGUGACUGUUGGAUUACGAGUCAUCUAGGUACUCGGUAUUUAGACGUUGUAAACAUAGUCUCAUGGAAAUUAAAGUUUACUAUUAUUGGUGAUAGAUUUCUGUAAAAACAAUGAUGUACAAGUAUUAUUUUGUGGUCUGUUUUUUCAUUGAUGUUACUGAGAAUGGCAGUUUGGAUGAUUACCUGCCACUAUUAAAAAAUAUGUCUUUA
This is a long non-coding RNA of Girardinichthys multiradiatus, 2515 nucleotides long. RefSeq lists it as uncharacterized. Lineage: Eukaryota; Metazoa; Chordata; Actinopteri; Cyprinodontiformes; Goodeidae. The transcript is spliced from 2 exons. The record is from RefSeq and is a predicted model, not a curated record.